AAUCAGAUUAAACAUUUGUGUUAAAUGGUCUUUCACAUAUCGAAUGUUAUCAGUUGGAUACUCUAAUACUUAUGGUCUAUGUCUGAGAUGACCAAACCAUGGCAAUAUGAAUCUCUUAGUAAUGCAGGUUAAAUUAUUUUAUCCAGUCAUCGAGAAACAUAAGAUGUCCUAACAUUUUACAAUUACACUAUUUGAAACAUAUGGAAGAUUGAAAGGUUGGUUAAAUUGUGUUGUGCUUCCUUGGUAUGGGGUCAAUUCUCUGCAUUGUUAUUCUUUACUCUUUAUGUUUUGGAACAACUCCUGUAGAGGUAUCUUAAUUUGAUUAGGUACUGGAAAAAUAAGCCACAUUUAAACAUCUGUAUAGCCCUUACUGGGUAUCUUUUUAUCAGCAAACAAAUGGGUACUUUUAGUUAAGCAUGCUUACAGCUACAUUCUAAGAGACCAAUAUGCUUGGUAUGGAAGAAAUAAUUAAGCAUUUCAAGGAUUGCACGUGUUUUUGUUUAUAAGGAGAUGCACCAUAUUACAUUGUUAUCAGCAUUAAGCGGAGUUCUUGUCUAUAUCUGAUUGUCUAAGCCAUUUUCCAUUGUCUAUUCUACUAAAUACAUAUAUACACCUGAUCUGUACAAAGGCACAUGGUUAUAAACAAUAAAAAAACACUCGCAACUUCUGCAUUUGUUGAGAUUGUAGUUUAUGUACACACAUAUAUAUUUGUGUAUAAUAUUGGGGCUGCAGGCCUGCAGUGGAAAUCUUUUAGUUAUUAUUAGCUCACACCACUCAUUUUCACUCUCAUUUUUCUGGUUGAUCACUAGAAUACAUAAUAGUGAAGCAAAAAGACUUAUGAUAGCAUGCUCACAUCUUUCUUUACUCUCAAGCUAUACAUGUGUAUGCUAAUUUUGGGUGUUUAUAUCUGUUGUAGAUAUAGUAUAAUUAUCGAACAGCAAAUCCUUGUUUUAUGACAACUACCAUCUUAACCAGUCCUUCAGCACCAAUAUUUAGACAUAUGAAUUAGACUGAGCAUUGCUGUUGGAUUGUCUAAUAUAUAUGAUCGAGGCCUAACUACCAUCUUAACCAGUCCUUCAGAAACAUACCAUUGCCUUAGGUUUCAUAAUUUUUUGUUUGAACAAAAUGGAGGGGUAAAACAGUGGUUAAAUGGGGUUGUGUUGCCCCUUUGGCUUGCUACAGGGUCAUUUGUGUAUUUAGCAUUAGUGUUUGCUUUUCUGCACAACUCUGUAAAGGUAGUCCUUAAUUGCGGAUUAGGUGUUUGGAAGGCAAAUUUAUGUUAGAUGGUUUCUUUGUUAGUUGCUAGGUGGGAUAAUUUGCAACUUCUUGGACUAACACAAACAUGAUUAGUGUUGAUAUCUCAUAGCGAUUGGUGGUGGAUAUAAUAAGUUACACAAUCUAAGCUCUGCUAUCUACUUGCUUUUUCUUUUUUUAUAUAAUAAAUUACACAAUCUAAGCUCUGCUAUCUACUUGCUUUUUCUCCUUCUGUUUAUCUGCAUAACAAAUAGUUUCCUUGAUUUAAGUAAGCUUGUAUGCACAUUACAAGAGACCAAGUUCGUACGACUGUACGUAAAUGAUUGAUCAAAGAAUUAGCCGUUAAGGCGUUAACUGCAGUAGCACGAUCUCUCACUUAAGGUCGCUUGAAGAGUAGUACAAGAAAGUGAGAAUGACUUAUGUAUCUUCAAACAUGUUUUGUUGACAGUGCAUGGUGACGGUCCAGGUAUUUGAUGCGAGGUUGAAGAGGAGGAGCAUGACACUUUGUGGACGCUAUGGGUAUGUAAAUUGUUGGUGCAGCACCUAUGAUCAGAUCCACGUCGACGAGCUUUAGAUAUCUGCGAUGGAGACUAUGAGUUUCUCCGAUCAGAUUCACGGUACUAACAACUCCCUGUCAAUAUCAAAAGUGAAGGUGGCAUGCUUUGAGUUUGUGGGUUUCGUUUUCUUUUCAGAUAUUUUUCUUGUUUUUCUUCCUUCAUCAACAAUAAGUCAACAACCUCUUGUUCCUUAAAUGUGUCAGGAACGAAAAACCAAACAAGAUGGGGUUCGUUAUAGGUUGAAACUCCGACGACAAUGGUCAAAUAUUUGGCCGGCUGCUAGAUGAGGUUAAAAUUGCCCUUUCUAAAGCGAAAAAAUAGAAAUGCUUUUUCUAAAUUCCUUAAUUACCAUAUAGAUAUGUAUAAUAGACAUAGAUUUAGAUAUGUAUAGUUUGAGAUUUAAUUUUGUAUGUGUAGUCUUCUGAUGAUUUCUUUAUUUUGAGAACAUAUUACUUGAGAAAUGUGUUUUUGUAGAUUUAAUGAAGAGCCUUUGUUGGGUUUUUGAUUGA
Erigeron canadensis is the source of this 2320-nucleotide RNA transcript. RefSeq lists it as uncharacterized. The transcript is spliced from 3 exons. NCBI's taxonomy places the organism in Eukaryota, Viridiplantae, Streptophyta, Magnoliopsida, Asterales, Asteraceae. The record is from RefSeq and is a predicted model, not a curated record.